Papio anubis (olive baboon) is the source of this 4702-nucleotide long non-coding RNA. The record is from Ensembl. Lineage: Eukaryota; Metazoa; Chordata; Mammalia; Primates; Cercopithecidae.
AGAAGAAGUCCACUGCUGCUUUUCACAUUUAAGAACAGGGAGCCUAAAAGUCCAUUGAUGACCAUGGCAUCCAGACAGCCAGGGGGAAUUAACCUGCUCACCACUGUGCUUUCAUCUGACUCAGUGCCGUUGCCACCACUGCUGCUGUUUUGUUUUCCACCAGCCUCUCUUUUCCCCUGUCUUCUCAUCUCCUUUAGCCUGGGUGUGGCUCCCAUGGAGACCCAAGCUGAGAAGCACCUUCCAUUCUUGCCCUUUCUUGAUCUUUCAGACACAGACUCAUGGGACUUCCAUCUCAGCUGCAGCCUCUCUCUCAGAUUGAAGUUGCUGUUUCAGAAGAAAUCAGCAGUGGCCACCACUUCACCUAAGCAAGCAGCACAUUCCUUGAGUUUUUCUUCUAGAAAAGGAUGAUGAUGUGUGAAAUGCCCCCACUCUCUUGACCUGUCCGCACAACCAAAAGCCAGGCGUGUCCGAGCAAGCAGAGUAGACACAAAGACAUAUUUGUUGAGCUAUGAAACCAAAUCCUGCAUUAGAGUCUUUAAUUCCUAACCCCUUUCCCCACUUCCUCUGCGCAUGCACAUGCAUGCACACACAAAUACACACAGAAACACAACACACACAGCCCUCUCGAUGGCCUCUGCCUGCACAUGGGUCCAAGCUGUCUAGGACCCUCUCCAGGGCAUUGCAAAAGGCUCCUAUCAUGUCUGACACUAUUUGUCCCUCUCCCUGAUCCAGCCCUGCACAUUUCCAGAGCUUGGUUAUGCCACCACCUUGCUCAAAAUCCCUCAGCAGCCUCCACUGGCCCCAGAAUAAAAGCAAUCCCUUUCGCCUGGCAUCCGCCACCUUUCCUAACCUGGCCCCAGCAAAUCUCUGCAGCUGUAUCUUUCGCUGCACCCACUCACCCUCUGCCCAAAUGGUCUACUCUGGUCUCCUGUGCCCACACCCACACUUUUCCUCCCUGUGAGUUUGCUCAUUCUACAUCCUCUGCCUAGACUGCUCUCCCCUCCAUCUCUACCUGUCAAAUCCCACCUCUCCUUCAAAGCCCGCUCAGGUGUCACAUCCUCCACAAAACUGCCCACACUUAGCCGGUGCCUGGCAAAAGCAGGACAUGUUCACAUGCAGUUUUUGCAAUGCAACUGAUUCGGCUCAGCCAUAUCAGCAUUUAAAAUCCUUGUGUCCUACCUUAGCCAACUCCCUUCCCACCCCUGGUUCUCACCCUAGGGGUGAGAGUUGACCAGGGGACGAGGUUUGGGGAUGGAGGGAAGAUGUCUGGCUUGUACAUUUCUUAGUUUUAAAAUAGCUAAGAGUAUAUGGUUUUGGUUGUUAAGUGUAUAAAAACAUCUCACUGUUGAAAUGACUGCAUCAGAAUCUCCUGUUCUCUACCUGUCCCAUGGUAGGUGCUCCACAUGCUUGUUGAAUUGGUGAUUAAAUCAAUGAAUGAAUGACUUUCCUACAGCUUCUGGCAGCUUCUUCCCUCCUUAGUUCACUCUGCGAUAACCAGUCUGACUCCCUGCAACACCUCCCACUUCUCCCCACUGCUAGACCCACUGAGUCCCUUCUGUUCUCUCAGCCCAUCCCCACCUUGGAGCUACAGCAAAGGGAAAGGGAAAUAUCAGGAGCCCAUGGCAGCCCUCCUAUGUGCAAUGACUCAGUGACUGGCACCUUGCCGAAUAGCCUACUCUGUUCCUUGCCUCUGUCUGGUUGGCUUUUGCCUUGCUCCUGAGAUCACGGCCUAUCCUUUUUCCAGGUCUCAGAAGCAACUAUACUCCCAGUUCUCUACUUUCUCCAUGGUAUAGCUUCCUUCUACCCAGAGGCUAAUUCCCUCUCUGAACCUCAGCCACAGGACAACUCUGCCACUAGCAGCCCAGCCUCUCUGAUGCCAUCUGCCUAUGCUAUCACCCAGUGCCCACCCCAGACUACUUAUCACCAGAUAUUGCUACUCUCUUCUGCCAGACUUGUGGUGGCAGAGAUUGGCUAGAUUCUCACCAAACUUAUCCGUCCUCUUCCUGGCACAUACCUGGACAUCACUCUGGAAUAUAGUACAGCCAUAUGACAUUGUUCUGAUAUGACAACAAUGGAAUGUAAGAAAGUGAAGAACCUCUGUACUUCAUCUCUAGGCCCAGCCCAUAGACUUGUUCAGUCUUCCUCUCUCUCCUCCCUUUCUUCUUCCUCCCCCGAACGUUUCUCUCUCUCUCUCUCUCUCUUUCUCUCAUGUCCCCCUCUUCUCCUUUCUAUCUAUCUCUAUAUCUAUCCAAAUGGAUGAUUGUAAAUGAGGACGAGGCUCUAGACUGCACUAAUACAGUAGCCACUAGCCACAUGCAGUUAUUUCAAUUUAAAUUACUUUAAAUGAAAGAAAAUUAAAAAUUGGCCAGGCACAGUGGCUCAUGCUUGUAAUCCCAAUACUUUGGGAGGCUGAAGCGGGGGGUGGAUCACCUAAGGUUGGGAGUUCGAGACCAGCCUGACCAACAUGAAGAAACUCCAUCCCUAUUAAAAAUACAAAAUUAGCCAGGCGUGGUGGCACAUGCCUAUAAUCCCCACUACUCGGGAGGCUGAGGCAGGAGAAUUGCUUGAACACAGAGAUGGAGGUUGCAGUGAGCCGAGAUUGCGCCAUUGCACUCCAGCCUGGGCAACAAGAGCGAAACUCUGUCUCAAAAAAAAAAAAAAAAAGGAAAGAAAAUUAAAAUUUCAGCUCCUCAGUUGCACUAACCACAUUUCAAACGCCUGCUCGCCACAACACAGGUAGAGAACAAGCUCACGAUUGCAGAAAGCGUUAUGGGAUGUGCUGUUCUGCGGAGCCCACGCUAAGUGAAGUCUGGCCCUCAAAUAAUGCCAUGGAGCAGAGUCAUCCCCUCCCCUACUGACCUUUAAACAAACAUGCUGUGAGUGAAUGGGAAAUGACCUUUGAUUGGGUGCAAUUGCUGAGGUUUUGAGAUUGUGACAGCAGUCAGUAUACCCCAACACCAGCCACUCAGCUGCCUUAAACACUCUAGACCCAGCACCCAGACUCCCUGGCUUGUCAUCCCUGCCUCCCUCCCUGGGCCCCAGAGAGAAGCACAAGGGUUCAGGAUUUCAGCCUCUGCAUUUUUGACCUUUCCUUCUUCCUGCAAAGCUCUGCAGCUCUUUGUAUCCCUCUCCCAACCUCUGUAUUUCCCAAACUCUUUUCAGCUUGAUUGCCAAAUUCAUUCCUACCUCUAUUAUCAUUUACUUAAUAUAUUUUCAAAAACAGGCUCUCUUUUUAAUUUGAAUAAAUAUAUUGACUAAAGACACUUUAUAUAACUCUUUAAAUGGAGGCAGACAAGUCCCAACAUCUUUAAUCAGCAAGCUGGAGACCCAGGAGAAUUGAUGCUGUAGUUUCAGUCUAAAGGGCAAAGAAAAAAAAACAAACAAAUAAAAAACACAAUGUCCCAGCUCAAGGUAGUCCCAAAAGAAAUAAUUCCUGCUUAUUCUUGGGAGAGUCAACCUUUUUGUUCUCUUAAGGUCUUCAACUGAUUGGAUGGGGCCCACACAACCUAGGGAAGGCCAUCUGCUUUACUUAGUCUUCUGAUUUAAAUGUUAAUCUCAUCCAGAAACACUCUCACAGAUACACCCAGAAUAAUGUGUGACCAAAUAUCUGGGCACUCUGUAGCACAAUCAAGUCAAUGCAUUAAAUUAACCAUCACAUUUACCACAAUUAGAAGAUACGAUACAAUGAAAACCUAACACUAUGAUUAAGCCCAGCUAGAAUCUGUAGUCUAUCAAAGGCUCUGGGUCUGAGGUCUGCUAUUUUUUUCUCUAUUUAAAAGGGAGGCCGGGCGCGGUGGCUCAAGCCUGUAAUCCCAGCACUUUGGGAGGCCGAGACGGGCGGAUCACGAGGUCAGGAGAUCGAGACCAUCCUGGCUAACACGGUGAAACCCCGUCUCUACUAAAAAAUAAAAAAAAAAUUAAAAAAAAUUAGCCGGGCGAGGUGGGGGGCACCUGUAGUCCCAGCUACUCGGGAGGCUGAGGCAGGAGAAUGGCGGGAACCCGGGAGGCGGAGCUUGCAGUGAGCUGAGAUCCGGCCACUGCACUCCAGCCCGGGCGACAGAGCGAGACUCCGUCUCAAAAAAAAAAAAAAAAAAAAAAGGGAGAUGAACAAGUAUUGGGGAGGUGUUAGAGAUGAACUAAUACCAUGAUGAGACUUUCACUUUAAAAUGAUCAGCAGGAUUGUCAAAGAAUCUAAAACAGAACACCUUUCCCACAGUGUGAUCAGCCCUCCAAUGUAUAUCCAUAUACCACAUCACAUGAGCCCCAGUGCCCUCUGGAGGGAUCCAUGUCCACCUGGGGGACACUAUCCUAGACUAUGGUCCCCUAAAGGCCAAGAUCACAUUUAAAUGGCAGUUGUGUCUCUCUUGGUGCCUCACAUAUAGGAGCCACUUAAUAAACAGUAAAUGAGUGAAGAUAUGUCCGGGAAUAGUCUCUGACCUAGUUGGCGGUUUCUGUCAGAAGCAGAACAUCAUGACAAAGGAAAUGGGACUAAAAUGUUAAACCACACUAAAGGUUCCAUCUACCAAAUCGCUCCUGUGGCACACUGGGGCAGGGCUAUGUCUAAAGGAAUUAAAACAUUCAAUAGCUCCAGGGCCAGAUUAAGACAUUCUGAGGCUCCAAAGUAUGUCCCAUAUCAUCCAAAAUACCAGAAUGUAUUUUUACAGACAGAACAUUGAACAUUUACAUCUAAACACAAAUUAAA